UUAUAUUCAUUGUCAGGUCCUUCCAAAAGUUAUGCUGCAUGUAAUGUGAAAGCUUUUGUCUUUGUUGGAUUCGUGAGGCUCUAAGUUUAGUUCCGAUUAGUUCUAAACUUGGGAAUUUUUUUUGGCCUGCGUUUCUUCUCAGUUUUCGAUUUUUUUUUCCUAAGUGUCCUGUCUAAGAGCUUCUCAUUUCUGAAUUUUGCUUAUCUGCUGUAAAGCAAUACUAGAUUAAGAUAGGUCAGAAUUGAAGAUUAUUAAUGCUUUUGUGGAUUGACGACUGCUUUACUCCAUUUUUUAUGAAUACUUAAUACACACUGCCUACUAUCUUAGUGAUUUACUCCAUUGACAGGAAUUCAUCUUUGGGUUCUUAUAUUGAUUGAUGAUUGCCCUUUACUUAUGUUUCCACGAUUUCCCAGUUUAAUUUUGCUUAAAUUGUGUCACUUAUUGCCUCAUAGAGUACAAAGCUACACCUGAUUAAUUGAUUUCAUUUUUACUAUAACAUUUAUCAGAUCAAGGGUACUUCAGAUGGUAUAUAGAAGUGUUUAGGUAGAUUCGUGGUGGGACAUAAUGUAGAGCCUUACUUUUUUCUCAUGUAUUUGAGAGUGGAGCUAUAGAAUGUCAUAUCUAGAGCAUGUCUUGAUUGGUAGAAGGCCCCUACGCACACAGGAGAUGUUUUUGCUAAAUUGUUAACUCUUUGUUUUCCUAAUCUGGCAUUUAACAUUUAAUUACAACCAUUAGGGACUGGUAUUAUUUGAGAGUGGAACUAUAGAAUAUCAUAUCUAGAGCAUGCCUUACUUGGUAGAAAACCCCUACGCACACAGGAGACGUUUUUGCUAAAAUGUUAACUCUUUGUUCUCCUAAUCUGGCAUUUAACAUUUGAUUACAACCAUUAGGGAAUGGUAUCUAAUAUUAAUUUGCAUUCAAAUUUUAAAUUGAAUUUUAAAAUAAAUUUAAAUUCUCAUUUCGAACGUAAAUUUUGUGAAGUUUGAUUUCAAUUUUUUUUUUGGUUUGAUUUUGAUAUUUGAAUUUGCAUUCAAAAUUAAAAUUUUAAUUUAAAGUAAUAUUAAUAGCUAUAAUAAUUUACUAUUGUAUUAUACUAUUUUAUUGUCUUCCCGCCGCAUCGCGCGGGUCCCGUACCUAGUAUUGGAUUAAGACAUAGCUAUGUAAAACAACUGAUAUCAGAUGGCAUAAUUACCAUUGAUUUUGUAAGAUCAAACCAAAAUCUUGCGGAUCCGUUGACUAAGGGACUUCCAAGAGAAUUGAUAUUCAAGACAUCAAUUGGGAUGGGUCUCAAGCCCAUAUUACAAAGUCACCAAUGAUGGAAACUCGACUUAACACUUGAAACAUCAUCAAGUCUUAAGUUCAAUGAGCCAAAGUACAUCAUAUAGAGUGUUUGCAAGUAUUAUAAUAUAAAAUUUCCAUCCCAAGUAAAGUGCUUGGUAUCCAUAUUGAAAAGGGAAGGUUGAGCUAAUAAAGUUCUUAAUAGACUGUAUUUACUGAAGUGUUAAAUACGGGACACUUCUGGUAGAGUCUACCUAUAUGAAUGUGAAGUGUGGCCGCUUCUAGGAGUUAAGGGCUUGACUCUAACAGCAUUCAUGAAACAGAAUGCAGACACAAGGCCAUAAAAGUGUCAGCAAUAAAAUAAAGUCUCAAUUGAUUAUAAAUUUCUAUGUGUGAGAUAUGUCUAGUUAGUCGAAAAUAAUUGUUGGUUCAAAGCUUGUCUACCAUUCAAUUAUGACUAACUUUGAGGUGUUUUCACGAAGUGUAGGUUCAAGUUUUAAUACACCUACACCUAUGCAUAUGAUUUUGUCAAGUUGUCAAGAAUUUCGAUUUUUGAUUUUUGAUUUUGUUUUAUUUUUCAUUUUGAUGUAUUUUUAUGUAUUUUAAAAAUUGGUGGGGAAUUGUAAGAAAAUUUUUAAAAUAAUAUAUUUUGUUUAUUGAUUUUUAGUGAAUGGAUGUGAUCCUUAGUGAAUGGAUGUGAUCCUUAGUGAAUGGAUGCAACCCUUAAUGAAUGGAUGCAACCCUUAGUGAGUGGAUGCAACCCUUAGUGAGUGGAUGCAACUCUAAUCAAAGGGUGUGAUUCUUAGAGUGAAAGGAUGUGACUUUUAGUAAAAUGAUAUGACAUGAAAAGACACAUCUUUAUAGUGUGUCUCUUCGAGUAUAUGUCCGUUGGAAUUAAUUCUUACAUUCAUUGAACUUGACUCAUAAAACUAAUUGGUAGUUAUGAUCAAAUAAAAUGUCACAAUUGAAGGGAUACUUCAUGAAACACCCGCUCAUGAAUAGUCACUUCAUGAAGCACCCGUUUGUGGUCUAUAUAAGUCCACAGCGUUGGUUGCAGAAAUAGAAGAAGAAACAGUUGAAGAGUUUAAGUCUCCAUUCAUAAUAAUUCCAUUUCUAUUUUCUUAUUCAUUUUGGCAACUUAAUCGAGUGAGUGCUCAAAGGCUCAACUUCGUAUGUGCAAACGUAGUUGAGGUUUAUCCUUCAUUGUAUCCUGGGAGGUUGUUCGUUGACCCGGUGCACACCAAAUUGUUAGAACGGUGGGGACGGAUUAAGCCUUAAGAAAAGUGGCAUUGCUACACGCCUUAAAGCCUUUUUCAUCUUUCUAUUUCAUACCUUUUUUCACUAUCUGAUCCAACAUAUAAUAAUUAUUAAAAAAAAUAUAAGCAAUAGGGUGGCGAAGACGAUGAUGUU
This 2688-nucleotide long non-coding RNA is filed under the name Ananas comosus (pineapple). Its description in RNAcentral is "long non-coding RNA (ACOM_LNC005482)". Lineage: Eukaryota; Viridiplantae; Streptophyta; Magnoliopsida; Poales; Bromeliaceae. The record is from RNAcentral.